ACACCGGCUAAUACCCUUUUCUCGCAGGUAACGUUUCGGACAAGAAUCUACCACUGUAAUAUUAACAGCCAAGGCGUCAUCUGCCUGGACAUUUUAAAAGACAACUGGAGCCCAGCAUUAACCAUUUCUAAAGUCCUCCUCUCCAUCUGCUCCCUCCUUACAGACUGCAACCCGGCUGACCCCCUGGUUGGAAGUAUUGCCACUCAGUAUAUGACUAACAGAGCAGAGCAUGACAGAAUGGCCAGACAAUGGACCAAAAGAUACGCUACAUAAAUUGGAUUUUCGUCAAACUCUUACAUUAUUUGUCUGUGAUGGAAAGAGCUGCUUAUGAUUUUGAAGGGGUGGGGGGAGGGAGGGUGCUGGUAAAGAGUAGGGUAUUUCUAUAACAGAUUUUAUUCAGUCUUUUAUUUCUUAAGAUUUUGUUGUUGUAACUUAAGGUAUCUUGCUACAGUAGACAGCUAGGAUUGGGAAUAGCAUAUUUUAAGACUGUAAUUAGUUCAGCAAUAUUAGCUCACAUAUAGUACCGAGAAGAAUGUAAACCUCUUAGACUUCUUUGGUUUUCAGUUUGCUUGCAAUAUGUAAAAGAUUAAAAUAGCUUAAUUUUGUACAGGUACAUAUGUUGACAUUUAUGUAAAAGUCCUUUCAAGACUCUACACACUGUUUUUGCUUUUUGUUUUUUUGUUUUUUGGUUUGGGGGGGUUAUUUUGUUCUGGGUUGGGCUUCUUGGUUUUUUUUGUAAAAAAAUGUCAGGAUUGUUUUCCCCUAUGGAGGGCACAUUGGUAUUUAACAAAUCCUUUUUAAAGACUGUCAUCUCAUGAUCUGUGAUACGGAGAGGUGGAUAUAUGGCCUCAUAUAUGAAAUGAGAAGUAGUUAAUGUAUUAUUUUAUAAGCCAAUCUAUCUUUGUGAAAAGAAUAAAGGGUUUAAUCAGGACUUAUGGUAACCUGUAGUGAAAUACCUUAAGCUGUUUAACUGUAAGGCGUGGAAUAGGAGUCACUCAGUGGAUUGGUUGUAUGUUGUGGGCUACUCAAGUCUGCAUUUGUUACUGUGCUAAUAAAAAGAUGUU
Molecule: non-coding RNA, 1064 nt
Organism: Pelecanus crispus (Dalmatian pelican)
Lineage: Eukaryota; Metazoa; Chordata; Aves; Pelecaniformes; Pelecanidae
Source: RefSeq, a predicted model, not a curated record